CAAGACGGUUGUGUGUUUUAUUGUGUUAAUAUAAAAUGUGUGUUUAGUGUAGAUUAAUUUAAGGUAUUAAACGGCAAUUAGUAUCUAAAAUGCAACGCCUUCAAGUUCGCUGAGCGGCAAAAUGAUGUGGCCAAUAAGCUGUUUGAAUCUACCGAUGCGGCCCGCGUCCAGCACUGAUAACUUUAAGGUAAUGUUCUCCAUGCCAAAUUCCUCAAGAUCCAUACAGCAGUUCUGGAGAUACCUUCUAACAAACAUCAA
Papilio xuthus (Asian swallowtail) is the source of this 258-nucleotide long non-coding RNA. RefSeq lists it as uncharacterized. Lineage: Eukaryota; Metazoa; Arthropoda; Insecta; Lepidoptera; Papilionidae. The record is from RefSeq and is a predicted model, not a curated record. The transcript has 3 exons.